RNAcentral lists this long non-coding RNA (1399 nucleotides) under Oryza brachyantha (malo sina). RNAcentral's name for it is "long non-coding RNA (OBRA_LNC000571)". The record is from RNAcentral. Lineage: Eukaryota; Viridiplantae; Streptophyta; Magnoliopsida; Poales; Poaceae.
CCAACUACGCCUCCACUUUCUUCCAAGCUCGGUAACCGCAUUGCCGCCUUCUCUUCGCGCGCGGUUGGUGUGUUCUUCCUUCAUUAUUGCCCGAUAUCUCUGAAGACGUGCAAUUUUUCGAAACGAUGUAACAAAAUUUGCACUACUGAAAAAAGUGUUAAGGAAAAAAAAAGAUGAUGUCACACUUCAGUUCCCUGGAGGACUACGGAGAAAACUUCAAAACUUCCAACCCAGCAUAAACCAAUUACCAAUACCCCGAACAAUUUACAGUUUCUCGAAUUCUUGUAGUGCAUAGAGCACAGGUGCGUCCAACCCAACUGGCAGCAGGUUGAUUUCUCGACUGUAGCUGGUCACCAGUUCACUACACGGCAUGUGUACUCUUUUGUCAGUUUUCUUUUCAUCGUCGCGUGAAGCAGGAGUAAAAGAUGGAUGGGAAUAUUACUGCUCAAGCCAGCUUUGGUUACCGAGUUACCCCGAUUAUGUCAGUACUCAGUAGUAAGCGCUCCAGUAAAGACUUACUCCUCCGUUAAUUCAAAAUACAAGUAUAUCUAGAAUUCAAAUUUAUACCAAAAUAUAAUCAUUUCUGCAGCGAACUGAGUGUCUCGCUUAGCGUCGGCACGGCACUAUCACUCACGGUUGAACGCCAACGAGAGAACAUGCAAGCAAGCACCGAAACGGCAAAGAAGCGUUCUUUCCCCUUGCAACAGAAUCUGCCUUCCCAGUUCCGAUUCACCAAAAAUAGUACUAGCUCCUAGUUAGCAAAUUAAGCAGCAAGAAGAGCAGAGUACCGCCACACUAAUCACACACACUAACCAGCUUCCAUUACAGGAGGCUCUAAAGUUAAAAAGAAAAGAAGUGGAGUACUGAAACAGACAUACACACACUCCACCUGCCAUGCACGGUUAAACGACGUCCGCGGCGGCGCGGCCGUCGUCGAAGUUGAGGGCGUAGCUGAGCGCGUCGUAGUGGAAGCUGAAACGGUGGUCCCGCCUGCCGCCGCGCCACCUCCCGCGCUCCGACUGCAUCCGCCUGAUCGCCGCGCGCAGCCGCCAGUAGAGGCCCCGAAGCAGCCUGCUGCUCCCCCGCCCGCGCGCCACCGCGACCACCCCUGCCUCCACCGCCGCCACCACGGCCGCCAUUGAUUAUUUUAUUACUACUCCGCUUCCCCGCUGCUCCCGGCUCGCUGGCUCGCUCGCCCGCGGAGGGGGGGAAGAGGCUCGACCGGCUGCCUCUACCAGAGAGGCAUGCGGACUAGGGAUCGAGUCCUCGUCGAUCUUACCUUGCUGGCCUCUCCGCUCGCCGUGGCGGCAGUGUGAAGUGGUAGGUUUGGGCUUGGGCAGGCAGGCAGAGUGAGCAGAGGAUAUGGGGCAGAAGAUAUGGUGGUGGUGGGGGCGGGCAU